RNAcentral lists this ribosomal RNA (397 nucleotides) under Ornebius xanthopterus. RNAcentral's name for it is "partial 12S ribosomal RNA". Lineage: Eukaryota; Metazoa; Arthropoda; Insecta; Orthoptera; Mogoplistidae. The record is from RNAcentral.
UAUUAUAAUAAGUGUAAAUAAAAAAGGUUUAGGUAGUAAGAGUUAAGAUCUUGAAACUUAAAGAAUUUGGCGGUGUUUUAUUCUGUUCAGAGGAAUCUGUUUUGUAAUCGAUACAACACGAUUGAAUAGACUUGAAUUUAUAAUUUGUAUAUCGCCGUCAUCAGAUUAUUUUGAAUGGAGGAAUUUAAAAUAUUAAGAUAUUUAUUAGGAUAAAAUGUCAGGUCAAGGUGCAGUUUAUAUUUAAGUAUAUAAUGGAUUACAAUAAAUAAAAAUUUAUUUGGAUUAUAAAUAUGAGUAUUUAUAUAAAAUUGGAUUUGAAAGUAAAUUGGUUGAAAUUAAUAAAUUGAAUAAGCGCUGAAGCAUGCACAUAUCGCCCGUCGCUCUCAUAAGGUUUGAG